RNAcentral lists this small nuclear RNA (101 nucleotides) under Erinaceus europaeus (western European hedgehog). The record is from RNAcentral. Lineage: Eukaryota; Metazoa; Chordata; Mammalia; Eulipotyphla; Erinaceidae.
GCUACCCCUUCAGCGGCACCUGCGCUGGGAAGACUCAGGGAAGAUUACCAUGGCCCCUGUACAAGGAUGACAAUCAAAUCGGUGAAGCCUUCCAGAAAAGU